GAUUGUUCUGAUAUUUAUGUUAUUUGCCGGCCUUGGUCGGUCCGUAUUGAGAAAAACUGUGCCCGAGGUCUUUAACAUGGACAUUUCGGAGCGGUCCGUACUCGGGGUCAAGACGGGAAACUCCGGCCGGACCGCUGGAGCGCGCGCGAUUCGCCAAUCAGAUUCAAGGAUUUAGGAUUCGAGACCGCUGAGAAGCUGGAGAAAAAUAUAAAAUGAUUUAAUCAAUGAAAUUGUCAUAACUGUUUUGAACCAUAGGCUCGGUGGCCCUUCGGGAGACAACCGGUAAAUUAAUUAAGUUUCGUUUCUCGGCAAAUUUUUGCCGAAAGCACCGGAAGAGUUCCUGAUUUUAUUAUCCAAUCAUUUAUUUUAACGUCAGCUGACGUCAUCAGGGUACAUGACCUUACUCAGAAAAACUGCUGGCUCAUCAGAUUCCGGAUUCAAAUAAUGACGAUGCUUCAAUUCUCUGAUCCUUCAAGUCCAGUGUCUUGCUGAAAAAGCAUUUUUCGUGCCGGAGGGAAGGAAACCCAAUUUGAGAGAACUCCAGUGUGACAAACCAGGCCACGACAGCCGCGACAGCCACGACAACCUGUUAUGGAUUUCUUAUGAGUUCAAGCUAAGAGCCUCUUACACAUUUAUCCUCCAGGACAAUACCGCCCAAAUGCGUUAGUGUUAUCAUAAUCGCGAGUGUUAUCAUAUUUCCGCCGUUAUAUCCAUUAUUCGGUUUCAGUAUUAUCAGUUUUCGCUAAUCUUGCGUGCAUUAGCGUGCCUUAAGAAAUUUGUCAUGCUCUGAAAAGGAACUACUAAGGUUGUAAAAAUAUUUUCAUAGCCAAAUAAGCCGGAAGGAUAAAUGAAUGCUGAAAUUGAAAUGCGAUGUGUUGGGGGGAAAACAUCAAUGGCCCUCUCUCUUGCGUAGCUAGCGGCAAGCAAAAUAAUGCGAAACCGCCAGUGACCAGGGAAAUAGUCUUCCUUUGUCAACCCUUCCAUCGAGAUGUAUGCGGUAGUUUUACUGUUGAAAGAUUUUUCCGGGUAGAUCUUUUGCUAGUCAUGCUGUUUUCAUAUUUUUGUAGAUAAUCUCGAUUGAAUCCAACAGGGUUAAAAUGUCAAAAGUUAAUUAACAAACAACUGAUACGAGAUGAA
Orbicella faveolata is the source of this 1137-nucleotide long non-coding RNA. RefSeq lists it as uncharacterized. The record is from RefSeq and is a predicted model, not a curated record. Lineage: Eukaryota; Metazoa; Cnidaria; Anthozoa; Scleractinia; Merulinidae.